This is a long non-coding RNA of Canis lupus familiaris (dog), 1079 nucleotides long. RefSeq lists it as uncharacterized. The record is from RefSeq and is a predicted model, not a curated record. The transcript is spliced from 4 exons. Lineage: Eukaryota; Metazoa; Chordata; Mammalia; Carnivora; Canidae.
AGGCACCUUCUAGGAAUGGGUCAGAAAUCCCACAUAUGGGAGGGACCUGGGUUUCAAAGGGGACGAAGGGAUAGGACCCAGGGAAGGAGAUAGAACAAGCCAGUGACUUCCUGCCCUCUGCCACAAUGGCUUGGGCUGGGCAAGGGCUUGUUUCCUUCCUGGCACUGUGUCAGCACUGACUGUGGGUUACGGGGUGGACUUUGGGGCCCUGUGGCAGAUUGGAGUUGGGGUGUUGAUGACUUGUGCACUGCUCAGAUCUCACACCCUGAUGGUAAUGACCCCUAAUUUCUGAGAGGGUGGGAGGGCCCAGGAGGGGAGGCUCCUGGCGGGGUGUGUGUGUGUGUGUGUGUGUGGCAAUCAGGGCUUCCCUUCCCAGAGCUUCUGAUCAGGGAUUUCUAAGGCUCUGAGGUGAUGCUAUCUUGCUUGAGAGGGAAGGAAGUGGGGACACGGUAUUGUGGCAGAUGUGGCCAGCAUUGCCAGCUCCGAGGAAAGUGGCCUGGCUCCAGCCCGGGGCCUGAAGCUAUCAGGAAGGAGCCCAGGGGACCGGCAGGGGUUUGGUGAGCAGAUCACCACAACUUAGCCCCCUCCACACUUUGUCUCAGCCAAAGAGGGAGGUGCUGGGCUGGUUGCCUGGUAAUCAGAGACAAGUCCCACCACCUUUCUGGGCCUCAGCUUCUAUAUGUGCACCAUGAGGAUGUUGGGUCUCUCCAUCUUGAACAUUUGAAGGAAGAAUCCACCUGGAAGGCUUGUUGUGCACACACCACCCACCUCACCACCAUGAGCUUAGAGCAGUGCCUGCUGCAAGAUGAACAUCUUCAAAAUACAGCUGUUGGAGGGCAUGGCUGGCUCUGUCAGCGGAGCGUGCCACGCGUGAUCUCAGGGUGCUCAAGUCUCAAUUCUCCCAAGAAGCCUUCCUGGACUUCUCCAGCCCAUGUUGACUUCCCCGCCUCUGAAUUCCUGCUAUGUGUAAUGAGUGACACCAAUGACUAUUCUGAACUUAGUCAUCGUGGCCUGCCAUCUUGAAUCAUUAAAUCCAUCUCCCUAAUGAGACCUCAAGAUCCUCCAUGGUAGAAAUAAAA